RNAcentral lists this ribosomal RNA (492 nucleotides) under uncultured archaeon. RNAcentral describes it as "bacterial SSU rRNA". It matches the Rfam family "Archaeal small subunit ribosomal RNA", at positions 347 to 845 of the family's 1478-position model. The record is from RNAcentral.
ACUUUACAAUGCGGGAAACCGUGAUAAGGGAACUCCGAGUGCCCGUAAAAUCGGGCUGUCCAUCUGUNUAAAUAACAGGUGAAGAAAGGGCCGGGCAAGACCGGUGCCAGCCGCCGCGGUAAUACCGGCGGCUCGAGUGGUGGCCACUAUUACUGGGCUUAAAGCGUUCGUAGCUGGUCUGUUAAGUCUCUGGGGAAAUCUACUGGCUUAACCAAUAGGCGUCUCAGGGAUACUGGCAGACUAGGGACCGGGAGAGGUGAGAGGUACUCCAGGGGUAGGAGUGAAAUCCUGUAAUCCUUGGGGGACCACCUGUGGCGAAGGCGUCUCACCAGAACGGCUCCGACAGUGAGGGACGAAAGCUGGGGGAGCAAACCGGAUUAGAUACCCGGGUAGUCCCAGCCGUAAACGAUGCGCGUUAGGUGUAUCGGUGACCACGAGUCACCGAGGUGCCGAAGAGAAAUCGUAAACGUGCCGCCUGGAAGUACGGAGCGG